Molecule: long non-coding RNA, 2559 nt
Filed under: Amphibalanus amphitrite
Lineage: Eukaryota; Metazoa; Arthropoda; Thecostraca; Balanomorpha; Balanidae
Description: uncharacterized LOC122368301, transcript variant X1
Source: RNAcentral
AGCUGCUUGUGUGACACGCAUUGAUCUUGCAUUCAUUGAAACACUUAGUUUUGAGUGUUUUGACUCAGUUUUGUUGUAACGUUACCUUUGUUUACGUUUUCAAUAACUUGUUUUGGGCUUCUCAUAUUAAUCAUUUUUUUCUUGACGUAGCAGGUUUAGUGUAAAACAAGUUUAAGCUGAAAUAUUUACAUGUUCAGAUUACAUGAAUGCAUACAUUUUAUAAAAGCUAUUUCAAAGUACUGUAGCCAUGUGUAACAUGCAUAUGUCUUAGUCAAUGACUACUCAGCAUGCUGUUUGGUGUUCAAUGGUAACAGUUUGAUUUGUUUUUGACAUCAAAUAAGAUUUGAUUUGUGUUUCUGAGAUUCCUAUGUUAUUUGUGGCAAAUAUUUUCCAAAAAUCCUCCAUCUAAAUCUUCAACUGAAUUCUAAAAUGCCUGCAUUUUCUACCAGAAACAUUAUCAUUGAUACCUCCUACAAUAUUUCAUUUUGUCACUAGGUACCUGGACUGGUGAAAAGUGAAAACUGAAAUUCAUUCAUGUCACCAUUAUCCCAAGACCUCCCCCUAAAUGGAAUUGAUCUUGUUUCACAAAUGAGUUGUACAAUGUCUAUCAGCUGAUGUCUGUUGUCUAUCUCUUUUUCAGCACAGAAGAUCCUCAGUUAUAGUUAACAAAAUGGAAAAAAUUAGCUGUGUUUUUAAUAUUCCAGUCGUGGCCAUCAAUUGCUCAGGAAAGCAGCCCAGAAUCACUUCACAACAGGUUUCCAAAGGAUCAUCAUUCAUCAGCACAGAAGGGGGGAAAGAGAAGGCUGUUCAAAUUCUGAAAAGCCAGAGCUGCAAAGGAGGUCAAAGAUGCAGUGUAGUUGGCCCACUCAGUAGAGUUUCACUAGUGGUUCUGAUGUGGACUGGGGAUUACACGCUAGAUUGAAGUGGCCGGUCUGGAGCAGCUGUAAUUCAUCAUUCGUGCUGACUGCGGACGAGUAAGAGCCCGCGUUGGCCCCGAUCGGCGAUCGCUGGCCAAAGCCCACCACCAGGUUGGUGAUAGGCGUUGGUUGUGAUAUGUAGUGUCGCCUAUGUGUGAAAAGGACAAGUUGAUAACAAAACCUGUUGCGCCAUGUUAUUAACCCGCGCCCGGGUGGCCCUCAGCCAACUUGGUGGUGGUGGUGGGGGGGGGGGGGGGGGGGGAAGGAGGGGAGGCGUAUUGGGCCACACCAGGUUAUCUUGGAAUGUAACAAAGCUGGAAAGACGCAGUAAAAUCAAUAUAUAGCUCGCUAUUUUUCUUCAGAAUCAUACAGGUCAUUUUCGAUCAGGUCAUUGCUAAGGUCACUGGAGGUCACCAAAAGUAAAAUGAUGACGAAUUUUGGCUCCCGAUUUUGACAACUUCAGAAAUUGGUUCAUAACUCGGGAACCAAAGAAGCUACAGCGCCGCGGAAAAGCGAAUUCGAUAGCUCUUUCGAAAAUCUUUCAGAUUCUCAGAUUUUAGCUAAGGUCAACUAGUUUGAGCCUCCAAAGGGCAAAAACUGAACAUUCGGCGUGCUUCGGAAAUCGUCUUUUCUUUUACAACUUUUGAUACUAACCUUUUAUUACGUUGAUUUUACCGGCACUGCGUUUCUCUCGUCUUGUUGACCUAACAAGGUCAACUUAAUAAAUUUGACCUCAGGUCAAAGUUGCAGAAAAUGCCAUAUUGCAUGUCAGUCGAUUCCUUACAUUGAGAUUGAGAUUAACAUCAGUAGCGGCGGAACACCUUCAAUUGAGGGGGCAUUGCCGAGUUUUGGUCCCAUUCUUUCCAUGCAACGCCCAUAGGGCUAAUGUUAAAAUGCCAGAAUCAAAGGGGGCACUGUGCCCCGGUGCCCUCCCCGUUCCGCCGCCUAUGAUUAUGAUGUUUUUAGCGCUCUGGCCACGUUCCAUCUAAAAUCAAUGUACAAAAAUAAACUGUUGGAGACGUUACAUGACCUGAGAUGACCUCAGGAGCAUACGAUAUAUCCCGAUGUUUGAGUGUUUUUGUUUCAAAAGCAGAGCAUUUCGAGUUCCUCAUACUGACUGAAACUGGAGACGUCGCAAAGUUGACCUGACCCUAGGUCACCGAUAUCAAAAUUAAAGAUAUGUAUUCUGGAUGUUGGUACUGAUUCUCUCAUGCAAUAGCUCGAGUUUCAAACUUCUACGUCAUGGUGACCUGACCUGACCUUAGGUGACAUGGGGUUUGUUACAUUUUUUUCACAAAUGAUGCGAAUCGAUGCAUUAUACAUAAGCUAUACUAAGUUUCGUGUCGUUUUAUUUAUGCAAGCACUAAAUUGUCAGGUGCGGCCAAAAACGCCCCCACCCACCCCACCUGGGGGAACGUUAAAGCAGUGAUAUAUUAUUCGGUGUAUUCCACGAUGCAUCGAUCGGUGUACUUGAUAAUGCAUUAUUUAUUGCUGCGUGUCUACGCUUUUGCUCUGUUCAGUGUGAUCUGUGAUAGGAAAACUACCGAUAUAUCUCCACGCGCAUGACUGAAAGAGAUCUACAUGAUGAUCUACAAUAUUGCGUGUCUGUUUUUGUUUGGCAUUUUAUAAAUACUGAGUCAGC